This 468-nucleotide ribosomal RNA is filed under the name uncultured bacterium. RNAcentral's name for it is "partial 16S ribosomal RNA". It matches the Rfam family "Bacterial small subunit ribosomal RNA", at positions 28 to 507 of the family's 1533-position model. The record is from RNAcentral.
GACGAACGCUGGCGGCGUGCUUAACACAUGCAAGUCGAACGGAAAGGCCCUGCUUUUGUGGGGUGCUCGAGUGGCGAACGGGUGAGUAACACGUGAGUAACCUGCCCUUGACUUUGGGAUAACUUCAGGAAACUGGGGCUAAUACCGGAUAGGAGCUCCUGCUGCAUGUUGGGGGUUGGAAAGUUUCGGCGGUUGGGGAUGGACUCGCGGCUUAUCAGCUGGUUGGUGGGGUAGUGGCUUACCAAGGCUUUGACGGGUAGCCGGCCUGAGAGGGUGACCGGCCACAUUGGGACUGAGAUACGGCCCAGACUCCUACGGGAGGCAGCAGUGGGGAAUAUUGCACAAUGGGCGGAAGCCUGAUGCAGCAACGCCGCGUGCGGGAUGACGGCCUUCGGGUUGUAAACCGCUUUCGCAUGUGACGAAGCGUGAGUGACGGUAAUGGGUAAAGAAGCACCGGCUAACUACGUG